CAAAUCCCACAUCCACCCAAAGUGCACCAGAGCCCGGAGGCACCCAAAUUGCUCCAAACCCUGCAGCCACCCAAAAUGCACCAAAUCCCACAUCCAGCCAAACUGUACCAAAGCCCAGAGGGACCCAACUUGCAUCAAGCCCUGGAGGCACCCAACGUGCUCCAAACCCUGCGGCCACCCAACUGGCACCGAACCCUGGAGGCACCCAACUUGCUCCAAAGCCCGGAAGCACCCAAAAUGCACCAGACCGCAGAGGCACCCAACGUGCACCAGACCCCGGGGGCACCCAAAUUCCUCCAAAGUCUGGAGGCACCCAAAUUGCACCAGACCCCAGAGGCACCCAACUUCCACCAGACCCCAGAGGCACCCAAAAUGCUCCAAACCCCCAUAUCCACCCAAAAUGCACCAAGUGCACCAGACCCCACAGCCACCCAAAAUGCACCAAAGCCCAGAGGCACCCAACUUGUACCCAACCCCGGAGACACCCAAAGUGCACCAGACCCCCAUAUCCACCCAAAAGGCACCAAACCCUGCAGCCACCCAACUUGCUCCAGACCCCAGGGGCACCCAAAGUGCAUCAGACCCCGGAGGCACCCAAAUUGCACUGAACCCCAGAGGCACCCAAAUUGCACCAAAGCCCGGAGGCACCCAAAUUGCUCCAAAGUCUGGAGGCACCCAAAAUGCACCAGACCCCCAUAUCCACCCAACUUGCACCAGACCCCAGAGGCACCCAACUUGCACCAGACCCCCAUAUCCACCCAAAAUGCACCAGACCCUGCAGCCACCCAACUUGCACCCGACCCCGGAGGCACCCAAAACGUGCCGCGUGCCCCCGAGGGGGGGUUUCGCCGCCCCCUCACCUGAAGGGGUACCCGAACUGCACCGAAAUGACGCUCAUCUCUUUGCUCUCGCCGUUGCACUUCACCGUGGCGCCCGUCUCGCCGCUGAAGGAGCCGCAGGUGCCGAAGGCGAAGAUGGCGAAGAGCUGGGAGAGAGCGACGGGGCGUUGGGGUCGCCGGCGGGCGGGUGGCACCCCGGGAGGGCGGGUGGCAC
Molecule: long non-coding RNA, 1053 nt
Filed under: Dromaius novaehollandiae (emu)
Lineage: Eukaryota; Metazoa; Chordata; Aves; Casuariiformes; Dromaiidae
Description: lncRNA (ENSDNVG00000004396.1)
Source: RNAcentral